CCCAUGUGCAAAACACAGUGGCAGCGCCAAUUCGACUUUUGGCUUCCCAGCAUUAUAUACUCAAGGUUUCAAAGCUCGCGCCACGCCGCGCGCCGUCUCCUGGCCCCCCGCUUCCCCUUGGCGAUGGCGUCGGCGGUAGCCCAGGCCUGCCCCUCCCUCUCGCCGUCGCCCUCGUCCUCGCCGCCGCCGAGGCCCAUCACCAUCGGCUGCAACUCUCCCCGCGCCCUGAACACGGCCCGCUUGCGCGGGGGCAGGUCCUCGUCCCUGACCCUGACGCCCGCGCCGGGCCUGCCGCCGUGCUCGCCGCGGUGCAUCCCGCACUCGGCGCAGAUGUGCCGCCUCAGCUUGCAGGGGUACCUGAGCUGCUCGCCCGUGAAGUCGCCGCGCUCGUCGUCGCCCCCGACGAACGUGCACCGGAGGAGGAUUGUGCCGCUACUCAGCAGCUUCCUGUCGGCGGCGCCCUGCGUCAUCGAUGUCUCGAUCGGUACUCACUGUCAUACUACUGCCUGCUGAUCGAUCCUGAUGGCAGGCAGGACACGUACUUAUAGGUCUGGGGAGCUUGGGAUCGUCUGGGGAGAUGUGAAAUGAUGUGUAGUAGAUGGAAUUGGCAGUGCCAAGCAUGAAGAGAGUGAGAGAGCGCCUCUGGUCACGCACGAGGUGACGGUGGACGGUGGCGCCGCGCGAGAGAAGAACCUGUAACGCUUGCUAGCUUGCUUCAUGCCAUAUAUAAUCUGUAUGUGCCGUGGC
This 747-nucleotide unclassified non-coding RNA is filed under the name Zea mays. RNAcentral's name for it is "misc RNA Zm00001eb193340". Lineage: Eukaryota; Viridiplantae; Streptophyta; Magnoliopsida; Poales; Poaceae. The record is from RNAcentral.